UACUCGCUUGGUGAAAAUGGUAAACACGACAGACUAAAAGACUUCGUGCCAAUGGGUUAUCGGUUCGAAUCCGAUAGCGAGUAA
RNAcentral lists this transfer RNA (84 nucleotides) under Nitella hyalina. RNAcentral's name for it is "tRNA-Phe". It matches the Rfam family "tRNA". From Rfam's summary of the family: Transfer RNA (tRNA) molecules are approximately 80 nucleotides in length. Their secondary structure includes four short double-helical elements and three loops (D, anti-codon, and T loops). Lineage: Eukaryota; Viridiplantae; Streptophyta; Charophyceae; Charales; Characeae. The record is from RNAcentral.